This 1249-nucleotide long non-coding RNA is filed under the name Physcomitrium patens. RNAcentral describes it as "long non-coding RNA (PPAT_LNC013514)". The record is from RNAcentral. Lineage: Eukaryota; Viridiplantae; Streptophyta; Bryopsida; Funariales; Funariaceae.
AAUUGAGAGAUCCGUAGAUCAGCGAAGAGUUUUCUCCCUGCCCGAUUACGAAUCCAACACGAAGAGAAAUCGCAUCCUGGUCACGUAAGCUGCCGAAAGAGUGGAGUUCUUGUCUAUCUUCAUACACCCAACUUGCCUUUUACACACCACUUUCCUCUUCAAGCUUUUGAGCACGAUGUGAUUGUUAGCUAGUUUAUUGAACUUAGAUUGAUGACACUCAUCUACAGCAAAUUGGUUUAACUUGUUGGUAGUUGUACUUUCCUCAUCGCUUCUUUAAGGAAUUUAGACGAAGUUGCCAAAAAUCGACAAAAAUGUGCAGUUGUGUCCGAUGACCCCAGUCGCUAAACAAAUAUUGCAUUUUCUCAACAAAUUACCGGAAAUGCCAUGAGUUGAAUUGUCACUACUACUACUACUACCACUAAUCCCUCAACCAAAACAAAAAUAAAAGAUAAUAAAACUUCAAAACAGAAAUUUAUUUGCUUGUUCAAGUUUUCUUGUUUGAUUUUGCAGGAGUACCCGUUGCAAAACACCAUUUCCUCCCAAUUGAAAAACUACUGAAAAUAAACCUCUAUCAUGGUAUCUAGAAAGCAGACGCUGCUUUCACCGCCCUCUAGGGCCGAGCUUUCGUUCGAGCCCGAGAUUUGGAAGCUUAUUUUCACUUCCAAGACUUGUCAAUGGAUCUAGUGCUAGGCAUCCACCUCAUACGUCUAGGCUUCCAUUGUCCCGGAGAUCAAUGCCAGCGAUGAGACUGGGCGAUCCAGACUGCCAGCUCCAGAGCCGUUAGGAACCAGUCCGUCUGUCGUCGUCGUCGUCGUGGUCCUGGGUUCGUGCAAUUCUAAGCUCAUGCACUCUGAUGCAUGAACUGCCACUACGGGCUCUGACCACAUCCUUCCGCGCCGUGCUGCUUUGCUUGCUUGUUCACGCUCCCAGCCGCUUGGUUCGAUUCCUGGUUCGACGAGCGUGUUGGCAUUCGCAUCCUACUUCAUCGCCGCGCUGCUCCUGCUCCUCCCUCUCCCUGGUCCUCACUAUUGGGUUUACGGGCUCUUGUUGUGGCCCCGGCUUCGCCUAGCCUUUGACGAGACUGAAAGGUGCCCAUUUCGGUGAUGUUGAGUAAGUGGGGCCUUGAUAUUCACCGCGGCACAGUUUUCUUACUCACUGUUGGAGCUUAGCAGAAUGUUCACUUGAGAGAGCUCAGGAGUGAUCUCCCUUUCUUUCUCUCUCUCGCUCAUGACUCUAGCCUUCACUUUGU